AUACGUAGGUGACAAGCGUUAUCCGGAUUUACUGGGCGUAAAGGGCGUGUAGGCGGUCUUGCAAGUCAGAAGUGAAAUUCCUGAGCUCAACUCGGGCGCUGCUUCUGAAACUGCAGGACUUGAGUGCUGGAGGGGAUAGCGGAAUUCCUAGUGGAGCGGUAAAAUGCGCAGAUAUUAGGAAGAACACCGGUGGCGAAGGCGGCUAUCUGGACAGUAACUGACGCUGAGGCGCGAAAGCCAGGGGAGCAAACGGGAUUAGAUACCCCGGUAGUCCUGGCAGUAAACGAUGUAUGCUGGGUGUGAGACUAGCGAUAGCUUCGUGCCGAAGUUAACGCGAUAAGCAUACCGCCUGGGGAGUACGGUCGCAAGAUUGAAACUCAAAUGAAUUGGCGGGG
RNAcentral lists this ribosomal RNA (395 nucleotides) under uncultured bacterium. Its description in RNAcentral is "partial 16S ribosomal RNA". It matches the Rfam family "Bacterial small subunit ribosomal RNA", at positions 523 to 918 of the family's 1533-position model. The record is from RNAcentral.